Molecule: non-coding RNA, 90 nt
Rfam family: RNA anti-toxin A
Source: Rfam
UAAUGUAGACAGAAAAAGGAAGCCCCGCUGGAACAGGACUUCCCAUGUAGAGCCGUUAAAGACGGUGGCAUAACUUAAUACGAUUAAAUA